This 277-nucleotide ribosomal RNA is filed under the name Rhabdias bufonis. RNAcentral's name for it is "partial 18S ribosomal RNA". It matches the Rfam family "Eukaryotic small subunit ribosomal RNA", at positions 72 to 379 of the family's 1831-position model. The record is from RNAcentral. Lineage: Eukaryota; Metazoa; Nematoda; Chromadorea; Rhabditida; Rhabdiasidae.
CAUUUUAUGGUUAAACUGCGAACGGCUCAUUACAACAGCAAUAAUCAGCAUGAAGUUUUCCUUAUGGAUACUUGCAGUAAUUCUGGAGMUMAUACACGUGUGACCUUCGGGUUCAUUUUUUAGAUUCACUAACCGGGAUACCGUUGAGUGAUGACUCUGAUUACCUUGCAGACCGCAUGCUUUCGCAGCGGCGAUUCAUUCUGAUUGACUGUCCUAUCAACUUGCUAGUAGAGUAGUGGUCUACUAGGGUGAUUACGGGURACGGAGRAUUAGGGUU